UACGAAGGGGGCUAGCGUUGCUCGGAAUUACUGGGCGUAAAGCGCACGUAGGCGGUCUUUUAAGUCGGGGGUGAAAUCCUGGAGCUCAACUCCAGAACUGCCUUCGAUACUGGAAGACUCGAGUCCGGGAGAGGUGAGUGGAACUGCGAGUGUAGAGGUGAAAUUCGUAGAUAUUCGCAAGAACACCAGUGGCGAAGGCGGCUCACUGGUCCAUAACUGACGCUGAGGCACGAAAGCGUGGGGAGCAAACAGG
This 253-nucleotide ribosomal RNA is filed under the name uncultured bacterium. RNAcentral's name for it is "partial 16S ribosomal RNA". It matches the Rfam family "Bacterial small subunit ribosomal RNA", at positions 524 to 776 of the family's 1533-position model. The record is from RNAcentral.